GAACAGCAGGACAGCCCAUAGCCAGGUUCUGUUGGCAUUUAUUCAUUUUAGGUAGCAAAUAUUUUCAGCUCUACAUCAGUAUAUUUAUUACACAGAUAAAUAUAAUAAAUAAGAAAACAAAAUGUAGAAUUUAUCUACAUUUUGGAAACAGUGUAAACAAGGAAAAUCUUGGCACCAAAUUCUUGAUCUAUGGAUAAACAACAAAAACAGCAAAACUAAUUUAAGGCGAAAGAUAAUCUGAAAUGAGCUGAUUUUUAUUAGGCUCCUUUUUCUCUUUCAAUAGAAGACAUUAAUAAACAUUAAUAAAUCUAGUGUUUUCUAUUACUAGGAAAAUAAAGACAAAGACUUAGACUUAGUACUUAACAAUCAAGUGAAAGAGGAGUUAAAUUUAAACAAUUGAGUUUAAAAAAAUGAUUCCAUCUUUUUUUCUUGGAAAUACGUAUUGUGUUUUCCUCUGGGCCUCCUCAGAUAGACUGAAGUGCUUCUGCUGGCCCAGGGACUCACUUUAUCAAUGUCAAGUUUUUUUGUGUUCAUCUGAUAGGCACUGCCAUUCUGGUUAGGAUGCCUGCCUGAGUUUUGAGGAUCCUCCUGGGUUGCUGGCACUACAUGAGUAUUCUGUCAUUAUUGGUUCAUAUGUUUUGUCAUGGCUUAAUAUCUGUGAAAUAACUUGUGUGUCCUCAAAGCUCACUUUUAAAUCUAAUUUUUAAACAUCUAUUGAAUUAUUUAAAUAAUUUUUAAAAAGCUCUGUAAACAAUGAAGGUUUUUAGAAUUUAAUGGGCAAACCGAUUUACUAUUUAAAUCCUUAAUUAAAUAUUGGACCACUUUAAUAAAGUAGCCACCACACAAAGAAUACUGAAUAAGAUAUUUGGGGAUAUAAAAAAGGGGGUGACAAAAAUCCCUCAUUAAAAUGACCAGCUUGUCUGUUGUAGUAAACAGCAAGACUAUGUAAAUAAUGCUCUGAUUCCCAAUUAUUGAAGCUUGGGUAUAAGGUUUAACCAUAGAAUGAGAAAUCAAAGUUCUCUGACAAAUGCCAUAUUACUCAGCAAUUAAAAAAUUAAUCUUGUCAUCGGCAAUAAUAUGGAUGGGCCUGGAGGUAUGCUGAGUGAAAUAAGUCAGACAGAAAGAAAAAUGCCAUAUGAUUUAACUUAUAUGUGGAUAUACUAAAAACAAAACAAAACAAAACAAAAAACAGUAAACAGAUCAGAAACAAACUCAGACACAGAGAACAUUUUGCCAGUUGCCAGUUGGGAGGGGGACUGAGGAGAAGGGUGAAAAUAGUGAAGGGAUUAAGAAGUACAAAUCGGUAGUUACAGAAUAGUCAUGGGAAAGUAAAUUAGAGCAUAGGGAAUAAAUAUGGUCAAUAAUAUUGUGAUAACUAUAUAUAGUGUCAGAUAGGUACUGGCUUUAUCGGGAUAAUCACUUUGUAAGUUCUAUAAAUGUAGAACAUUAGGGUCGUACACCUGAAACUAAUACAAUAUUGUACAUCAAGUAUAAUUGAAAAAUAAACAAUUAAAAAAAAAAAAGCUAAAAAUUUAGAGAAUCUAGUUAGCUUUGCAAGUAAUUCCAAUAACCAGAAAAAUGUUCCCUCAUUUCCCCGCUGGCUUCCAUACUCUCUAUAGGGAGUGUUCCCCUUCCCCUCUGAGCCCUUUGGCAGUGAGAGGUUUCCUCACCUGCUGAGGAGGAGUCAAUGGCCAGAGGAGGAGUGUCCUCUGCGGCUAUGACAGGAGGGAGUGAUAGGCUUCAGGCAGUUAGGGAAACAGUAAAAGUAUUACCUGGACACACAUGUAUGAAAGAUCAUUCUGGAGGUGGAAAGCUUUGGCGCCUAGAAAGGAAGGAUGGAAGUUCAGGGGAAAUGGAAUAGUAUUGGGAUAUGGUCAUUAAAGAAGUGGGGUAGAGUAGGUUGGAUGCAGCAGAACAAGGAACUUUAGGGAAAUGUUUUACAGUAGCUGCCCAAAAAGGGAACUGGGAUCUUGGCAGUCUGCCUAGUCAAGGGCUUGAAUUUCUCAGAUGCAGCAGAUUUGCAGGAUCAACAUUUGUAAGUCAGGCUCUGCCUGUAUAGGGUUUCCUUUUAUUGACACUUCCUUUUGAUUGUAAUAUCAUUAGGAACUAUUUAAAUGUCCAUAGAUACAUGGAUCAGUUUUUAAAAUGUUACUUUUGGCCCUGGCUAAGUUGGUUGGACACCAAAAGAUUGUGGGUUCAAUUCUAGGCACAUAGUUAGGUUGCUGGUUUGAUUUUACAGAUAGAAGAAGAGUUAAUUUUUCAGUUUGUUCAGCUUUUUACUUGCUAGGACGGAAUGAAGACAUCUAUAUCCUUACUUGCUAGAUUGGAAACCGGAACUGUGAUGGUCAACUUUAUAUGCCUUGAGAAUUUUAAUUUUAGAAACAAAUUCCCUGCUCUAGUUAGAGAAAGUGGAGAAUAUUGAGAGAUUGGGGAGAAAGAGAAUAGACUUGAAAGGAAGGGCAUUACUAGUAUACUGAGUCUAAAGUACACUUGAGAGAAAGUGGAUGAUUAUACUUUUUACCCUACAUAUUAAUUGCUGAGUGAUCUUAAAUACAUUAAAACAUUUUCCCAGGUCUUAAUUUUCCUCAUUAACUUGUUGCAAGGUUUACUCAAGUAGACUUUCCUCUUUUUUUUUUCUUCUUUCCCUUUUCCUUUCUCUUUCCUUUUCUCCUUUGUUUUGUCCUCCUUCCUAUAACAUCCACCAGGUCAGAAAUGCAAAGAUAAUUCAUAUUUUUUCCAAGUCUCAAAUUCUAAAAGAAAAACUAGAUAAAAUACUCUGUCGUAAUCACUUAUUUGCACAAUUCCUACAACAGUGGUACAAAGAGAGGAGAAGAAAAUUGAGAGAAGAGGAUGGUCAGAAAAGGUUUCACAAUUAAGAAACAUGGGGUUAGACUCUUAAGAAAGGAGAAACCAUUUUCCUGGUUUAACAGAAGGGGAGAAUUCUAUAUAGUGGAACUAUGUAAAGACUGCCAAUCAUAGAACUGUUCUGUUCAGUUUGGUUUCAUGGGUAUGCUAUGUGGGUUUAGAGAAAUGAGUUUGUAGAAAGAGGCAGUUGUCAAAUCUGGGCAGGCCAUAUUUGCCACAUUAGGAUAUCUGGUCUUUAUCCAAUAGGUCUGACCCACCAGUGAGCAUAGAAACAUCUUUAAAAGAUUAAUCUUUUUUAAUGAUCUUUUGACUUCACUAUGGAGAGCAGUAAGGUUAGGAGAAAGGAAGAGCAGUGUUAAUACUAUUACAGCAAUCUGGGGAAGUGAUGGUGAGGACAUUGCCAGAGUAGACAGAGAUGAGCCUUAGAUUAUAGGAUCUAGAAUAUAUAGUAACUGCAUAUCAGGCAAGAUGAAGGAACUGAGGGUGGCGAUCAGGUUAGAUGUGUUGUUAACUAAAAGGAGGAAUGGAGAGGAAUGUGGUAUUUAAGUUGCCUAGAGGAUAUUCAGCUGAUUAUCCUCAGUAAACAGUUGACUAAGUCAAUCUGGAGCUUUUAGCAUAUUCUGAGUUGGAGACUGAGGUUUGGUGGUGUAAAUACGAACUGUGUUCCAUUGACUGGCAUAGUAGGUCUGAGGAAAACAUGUAGA
This is a long non-coding RNA of Pipistrellus kuhlii (Kuhl's pipistrelle), 3569 nucleotides long. RefSeq lists it as uncharacterized. The transcript has 2 exons. NCBI's taxonomy places the organism in Eukaryota, Metazoa, Chordata, Mammalia, Chiroptera, Vespertilionidae. The record is from RefSeq and is a predicted model, not a curated record.